This 72-nucleotide transfer RNA is filed under the name uncultured bacterium. RNAcentral describes it as "tRNA-Gly". The record is from RNAcentral.
AGCGGGAGACGGGGAUCGAACCCGCGACAACCACCUUGGCAAGGUGGAGCUCUACCACUGAGCCACUCCCGC